Molecule: ribosomal RNA, 445 nt
Filed under: uncultured bacterium
Lineage: Bacteria
Description: partial 16S ribosomal RNA
Rfam family: Bacterial small subunit ribosomal RNA
Source: RNAcentral
GUGAGGAAUAUUGGUCAAUUGGCGCAAGCCUGAACCAGCCAUGCCGCGUGCAGGAAGACGGUCCUAUGGAUUGUAAACUGCUUUUAUUUGGGAAUAAACUCCGGUACGUGUACCGGCCUGAAGGUACCAAAUGAAUAAGCACCGGCUAACUCCGUGCCAGCAGCCGCGGUAAUACGGAGGGUGCAAGCGUUAUCCGGAAUCAUUGGGUUUAAAGGGUCCGCAGGCGGUCUUAUAAGUCAGUGGUGAAAGCCUACAGCUCAACUGUAGAACUGCCAUUGAUACUGUAGGACUUGAAUUCGAUCGAAGUGGGCGGAAUGUGACAUGUAGCGGUGAAAUGCUUAGAUACCAUCAGGAACACCGAUAGCGAAGGCAUUGUACUGGCCGACAACUGACGCUGAUGCACGAAAGUGUGGGGAUCGAACAGGAUUAGAAACCCUAGUAGUCC